ACUGUGGUGGUGACAGGUGACGGAGAAUUAGGGUUUGAUUCCAUAGAGGGAGCUUAAGAAAUGGCUACCACAUCCAAGGAAGACAGCAGGCGUACAAAUUACAUAAUCCUGACAUGGGGAUGUAGUGACAAUAAAUAACAAUACUAGGCUCUAUAAGUCUGGUAAUUGGAAUGAGCAUAAUCUAAAUCCCUUAACAAGGAUCCAUUGAAAGGUAAGUCUAGUGCUAGUAGCUGUUGUAAUUCCAGCUCUAAUAACGUAUAUUUAAGUUGUUGCAGUUGAAAAGCACAUAGUUGGAACUAGGGUUGGGUCAUUCGGUCGACCUCACGGUAAGCACCGAUCUAUAUGUCUCUACUAUUGGUGAUGCAUUAUUGGCCUUAAUUAGCUGGGUUGUUCCUUUGAUGCUGUUACUUUGAAGAAAUUAGAAUGCUUAAAGUAGGCCUACACUUGUAUACAUUAGCAUGGGAUAACAAUAUAAGAUUUCGAUCUUAUUAUGUUGUCCUUCGAGAUUGGAGUAAUAAUUAAUAAGGACAGUCAUAGGCAUUCGUAUUUCAUAGUCAGAGGUAAAAUUUUUGGAUUUAUGAAAGACGAACAACUAUAAAAGCAUUUGCCAAGAAUGUUUUCAUUAAUAAAAAAAAAAAGUUGAAGGCUCAAAGAUGAUCAGAUACCAUCCUAGUCUCAACCAUAAAUGAUGCCGACCAGGGAUAGGCAGAUGUUACUUUUAAGACAUUACCGACACCUUAUGAGAAAUCAAAGUCUUUCGGUUCCAAAGGGAGUAUAGUCACAAGGCUAAAACUUAAAGGAAUUAAUAGAAGGGCACCACCAGGAGUAGAGCCUACGGCUUAAUUUGACUCAACAUGGGAAAACUUACUAGGUCCAGACAUAGUAAGGAUUGAUAAAUUGAGAGCUCUUUGUUGAUUCUAUGGAUGGUGGUGCAUGGUCGUUCUUAGUUGGUGGAGCGAUUUAUCUAGUUAAUUCCAUUAACAAACGAGACCUCAGCCUAUUAACUAGCUAUACGGAAGUGAUCCUUCAUGGCUAGCUUUUUAGAGGGACUAUGGCUGCUUAGGCUAAGGAAGUUUAAGACAAUAACAGGUCUGUGAUGCCCAUAGAUGUUUUGGGCCACACGCUCGCUACACUGAUGUAUUCAAUAAGUCUAUAGCCUUGGUCGACAAACUCAGGUAAUCUUUGAAAUUUCAUCAUGAUGGGGAUAGAUCAUUGCAAUUGUUGAUCUUCAAUGAAAAAUUCUUGGUAAACCGAGUCAUCAGCUCAUGUUAACUAUGUCCUUACCCUUUAUACACAUCACCCAUCUCUCUUACCGAUUGAAUGGAUUGGUGAAGUGUUUGGAUCGUGACGACGUGGAUGGUUCAUCACCCGCGACGUCACGAGAAGUCCAUUAAACCUUAUAAUUUAGAAGAAGGAGAAUUCGUAACAAGGUUUUGUAAGUGAACCUAUGGAAG
RNAcentral lists this ribosomal RNA (1454 nucleotides) under Durio zibethinus. RNAcentral's name for it is "SSU rRNA". It matches the Rfam family "Eukaryotic small subunit ribosomal RNA", at positions 343 to 1823 of the family's 1831-position model. Lineage: Eukaryota; Viridiplantae; Streptophyta; Magnoliopsida; Malvales; Malvaceae. The record is from RNAcentral.